RNAcentral lists this long non-coding RNA (1147 nucleotides) under Triticum aestivum (bread wheat). RNAcentral's name for it is "long non-coding RNA (TAES_LNC006774)". Lineage: Eukaryota; Viridiplantae; Streptophyta; Magnoliopsida; Poales; Poaceae. The record is from RNAcentral.
UUUUCUUCUUAUGGUAUAUACAAUUGAACUAUGUAUCCAACACGAUCAAACUAUUCCCAUGUUUCUCUAUGGAUUGAGGAAAGAAUACAUAGUGAAAUAACAUUUACCAGUACUAGUCUUGGGAAAACAAGAGCUCGAAUGCCAACCAAGGAGUUUCUGUGUUAGGUUUGAACUGAUGACCUACCUGUAAGUAAACCAAGGAUCUCAUGAUGUUUUAUUCUGUGCAUCAUGCCCGGAUGUACAUAAUAGAGCAGUACAACACCUUAGCUUCAUUUUAACAAAAGACAAACAUGAAAAGAAAACAAGUUAAGUUGUUGUAAGCAUUUCAGUAAACACCAAGAGGGCAACAAAAUAACAACAAUAGGAACAGUGUUUUUUCUUUCGUUUUUGUUCUACAACUUCUCUGAAAUCAAAACCCUCUCCAUGUUCAUUUUGGAUCAAUUUUUCCUGAACUCCCAGAUUCCAGAGCUACCCGAUGUUCUGGGUUCUUUUAUGAACCUUUUUAUUAUCUUUUUUUUGAACUUGAAACGAAUAUACACAAUAAACAAAUGUACUACACAAGAAUGUACAUCUACGGAAGAAUAUGGUACAUGAAAAGAGGAAGGGGGAAGGCUAGACCUCUUCGCUGCGUCACUGGACGGCCUCGGCUGUCGGCAGUGAACGGACUGUGGUACUGGAGGUGAACGGCCUGGCCGCUGCGGGAAUGGGGGAUGGGGCACGGCCAGCAGCAGCAGGAGGCGGCGACCUGCAGAAGGAAGAGGCUGCGACCUGACGAGCAAGCGAUACAAAUGAGAAAAGAAAUAAACCCUGGCUCGUCACCGUCGAACUGAACUCCGCGCGCCCUGUUGAACUGCUGAAAUAUUUUAGUACGGGUUAGAUACAUUGCCAAACUAGUACCUGAAAAUCUCAUCCCCAAAUAUGCAUGUCAAUCUUCACAGUUGGAAGUAAUCUGAGUUAUCUCAAAAGAUCGAACUGAAACAUACAUGCAAGAACGAAACCGGUACAAGCAAUACAAACAAUCAAUAUGAGGAGGAAUGUCUAGAUGAAUAAGAACAGAGCAUCAAGAAGAUUCAUCAAAUUCAUACCAAAAAUAUGAGGAGGGGUCACGGUACGCCAACCAAUAGGCUAGCGGGAGGAGGACACGGCC